GAUGAACGCUAGCGGCAGGCCUAAUACAUGCAAGUCGGACGGGAUUGAGAAGCUUGCUUUUCAUGAGAGUGGCGCACGGGUGCGUAACACGUAUGUCACCUACCUUAAUCAGGGGGAUAGCCUCUCGCAAGAGAGAUUAACACCGCAUAAAAUCAAUUUAUGGCAUCAUAGAAUGAUCAAAUCUUUAUAGGAUUAAGAUGGGCAUGCGGAACAUUAGCUAGUUGGUAAGGUAACGGCUUACCAAGGCUACGAUGUUUAGGGGAUCAGAGAGGAUGACCCCCCAAACUGGUACUGAGACACGGACCAGACGCCUACGGGAGGCAGCAGUAAGGAAUAUUGGUCAAUGGGCGCAAGCCUGAACCAGCCAUGCCGCGUGCAGGGAGACGGCCCUACGGGUUGUAAACUGCUUUUGUACCGGAAUAAACCUUUGUAUGUAUACGAAGCUGAAGGUACGGUAAGAAUAAGGAUCGGCUAACUCCGUGCCAGCAGCCGCCGUAA
Molecule: ribosomal RNA, 498 nt
Filed under: uncultured bacterium
Lineage: Bacteria
Description: partial 16S ribosomal RNA
Rfam family: Bacterial small subunit ribosomal RNA
Source: RNAcentral